Molecule: transfer RNA, 72 nt
Filed under: Bos taurus (domestic cattle)
Lineage: Eukaryota; Metazoa; Chordata; Mammalia; Artiodactyla; Bovidae
Also listed under: 5 other names
Rfam family: tRNA
About the family: Transfer RNA (tRNA) molecules are approximately 80 nucleotides in length.
Source: Rfam by way of RNAcentral
UCCCUGGUGACUCAGCUGGUAAAGAAUCCACCUGCAAUGUGGGAGACCUGGGUUUGAUCCCCAGGUUGGGAA